This 66-nucleotide microRNA precursor is filed under the name Myotis brandtii (Brandt's bat). RNAcentral's name for it is "mir-9242 microRNA precursor family". It matches the Rfam family "mir-9242 microRNA precursor family". Lineage: Eukaryota; Metazoa; Chordata; Mammalia; Chiroptera; Vespertilionidae. The record is from Rfam by way of RNAcentral.
GGCCUCCCUCUGUGGGGCAAUUGAUUGGUGGGGAUUCCAUGAUCGAUUGCCCCACAGAGGGAGGCC